UGCAAAGAGUGUUAACUAGUAACUGCUUGGAUGCAGUCUUCUCAUGACUCACUACUAUCUAGUAUAUAGUUUUAUCUGUUAUGUAACCUAAGCCUGCCUCCAGGAACAACUCUAUAAACCUGAAUGAAUCUGAUAGUAAAGUAAAGAACUCAUUUCUGGCCAGGGGGAGAGAUGUACUAUGCGCCUUCUUGGACAGACAGCAAGCUCUUCUGAGUCCAGGAACCUGACUGCCCCCUUGGGAUGUGAGGGGCUGACACAUCCAAGCAGGCUUCAAAUCAAAGAAUGAGCAGCAUCUGUCAUCCCUCAGAACAGCCAAUAUGAGGAUUCUAGUUUAUCACAGCAGUGCACAAGUAAACACCCGUAACCUUCAGGUGGCACCAUCAGAAAGG
Podarcis muralis (Common wall lizard) is the source of this 389-nucleotide non-coding RNA. Lineage: Eukaryota; Metazoa; Chordata; Lepidosauria; Squamata; Lacertidae. The record is from RefSeq and is a predicted model, not a curated record.